AUAUUGUCGAUAGCAGAAGCAGGAUGAUGUCUCCCGAUUAUCCCAGUGCCUGCUUUAAGGCUUUGUAGGUAAGGUCUUAGUGGGACUCCGAGCAAUCCACCCCUUCCUACUUUUCAGAUCUCCUUGGAGCAAGCUGCUCAUCUGGAAUGAUCCUGAUGUUGUGGAACAUCUGGCCAGCUUUGUGCUUCUGCUCCUGUUCCAAACACGACACCUUCCUGCCUCUGGAAUGUGCUGUUCAGCCUCUUCCUUACACCUUGGAUUCUGCUUUAUGACAUCCUUCCAUUACCUGGCAGCUUAUAUCCAAGAGGAUGGGGUUGGCUGGUAGAAGGGGCGGGGGCCAAGGAUAGGCACUUGAAAGGCAAACUCACAUGGGCCUCGUACCGGGAGUAGUGGUAGAGGCAACAAGGCAGCUUGUCUUGCUGGGAAGAAAGGUACCACCUUUGAGAUGAGAUGAGAUGAGGAGGUGGCACGAUGGUUUCUAUCACUGAGAGGGAGAGGAAGACGGGAGCCUUGUAUGGACCUAGCUCAUCACAUGGCCCUUCCCGGAUGUGGCAAGUCCUGGCAGCUGCUGCUCCUCCUAGUAGCCCACCUCUGGAGUGCUUGUUUCAAGGCGAUCCACAGUCAAACAGAUCAUGAAAUUAAGAUCACACUAGAACCACCAAGACCUAGAGUGGGACACAAUAUUACCCUCAUUCCAGGAGGAUAUGUGAAGGACAUAGGGAUUUGCUUCUGGCUCCGAGGUGGGAAGGAGGAAAGGCAUCGUAUUUUCACUUAUUUUCCUGCUCCCCAUUUUAUACAACGAGAGGGACCCGCCUCCACCGGNNNNNNNNNNNNNNNNNNNNNNNNNNNNNNUAUUUUCACUUAUUUUCCUGCUCCCCAUUUUAUACAACGAGACGGACCUGCCUCCACUGGACGAGAGACUCCAGGAGAAGGCUGCUCGAUGCACAUCUGUCAGCUGAUGGCUGAAGACAGCGGAAACUAUACUGUGUUAAAGAAUAAACUCAGAGGAUCUGAUGAACAUCAAGAAGGACAUAUAUUCUUAUCAGUCUCAACUGAAAAUCAAGAAGAACCAAAAAGUACAAAAGUUCAUCAUUUCCCUUGGAGUAUUUUUCCAGGAAUUACCCUUGGAUGUCUUCUUGGGUUGAUUCUCACAGGAGGAUUGGUUUAUUACCGACACUUCAGAGCAUCAUCCACGCAAGAUACAGCAAAAGAGGAAGCAUUGCAUAGCCCUAACAGCUCACAUUCUGGAAGCAACCCAGCUCAACAGGAAAAGGAUAUUGUGCCUCUUUCCCCCUGAUGUACUAGAUUUCUUCUUGUGGUAGCCAUGGGGAAGAUCAUCCCACUUUAGGAUACUGUCAGCUUUCAAGUUUAGAACAAGCACCGCUGGACUUUUUCGCCUGCCCUGAAGAAGAAAUAUCAAAAAGAAAUAUCAAGCACAUCCACUGCAGAGAUGAUCAGUAGAGGCAUUACCUCCUCCUGUCACAGCUGCUGAUGAAAUAAAAAACACCAUUGCUUUUUUCUAGGAGGGUCA
RNAcentral lists this long non-coding RNA (1531 nucleotides) under Pogona vitticeps (central bearded dragon). RNAcentral's name for it is "lncRNA (ENSPVIG00000021646.1)". The record is from RNAcentral. Lineage: Eukaryota; Metazoa; Chordata; Lepidosauria; Squamata; Agamidae.